Molecule: ribosomal RNA, 497 nt
Filed under: uncultured bacterium
Lineage: Bacteria
Description: partial 16S ribosomal RNA
Rfam family: Bacterial small subunit ribosomal RNA
Source: RNAcentral
GAUGAACGCUGGCGGCGUGCCUAAUACAUGCAAGUCGAGCGAACGGACGAGAAGCUUGCUUCUCUGAUGUUAGCGGCGGACGGGUGAGUAACACGUGGAUAACCUACCUAUAAGACUGGGAUAACUUCGGGAAACCGGAGCUAAUACCGGAUAAUAUUUUGAACCGCAUGGUUCAAAAGUGAAAGACGGUCUUGCUGUCACUUAUAGAUGGAUCCGCGCUGCAUUAGCUAGUUGGUAAGGUAACGGCUUACCAAGGCAACGAUGCAUAGUCGACCUGAGAGGGUGAUCGGCCACACUGGAACUGAGACACGGUCCAGACUCCUACGGGAGGCAGCAGUAGGGAAUCUUCCGCAAUGGGCGAAAGCCUGACGGAGCAACGCCGCGUGAGUGAUGAAGGUCUUCGGAUUGUAAAACUCUGUUAUUAGGGAAGAACAUAUGUGUAAGUAACUGUGCACAUCUUGACGGUACCUAAUCAGAAAGCCACGGCUAACUACGUG